This is an RNA transcript of Thunnus maccoyii (southern bluefin tuna), 1313 nucleotides long. It is a transcript of the gene named DNA excision repair protein ERCC-6-like, with no coding region annotated. The transcript has 2 exons. The record is from RefSeq and is a predicted model, not a curated record. NCBI's taxonomy places the organism in Eukaryota, Metazoa, Chordata, Actinopteri, Scombriformes, Scombridae.
GCUGUUUAUUUAAAGAGAAUUAAAACACUGGAAAGCUUUUUAAUGUUUUUAAUGCAUUAGAAAUAGUCAGACCUUGGUAAAUGCAGUAUUUCUAGUGAGUUUUUCUUUCAACAACCUUUCAAGGAGGCAGAUAAACCAGUUGGGGCGAGAGUGAAGCGAGGCGAAUAUUAAAAGAUAAAGAACCAACAUUUUGCCUUUAGAGCCUCUUGUAGUAUUAAAACUUGAGUCAGCUGACGUUGUUUUCUAUUUACACUUGUAUACAAAAGUUUGGGCAACCUCUGACAAAUAAGGUAUUUUGAUGAUUUUUAAUUGAAAAGAUGUAAACAGUCUCUCUAUGAUGUGAAACAUUAAUGCAGAGUUACUGUUUAUGUCUUGCUGCUCUAUUUUCUGGAUUGGGAAGCAGAUGAAUGAAGGGAUCGUCACAAAUGAUUCUGGAAAUUCUAUUUUAAAACGUGUCUUCACUUAUCUUCAAAGCGCGAGUUCAAUAUCAAGGAUUUACGAGUUAUGUGCUUCAACAGUUGGUGGCGAUAGUGCUCUGAAUGGCGGCAAUUCACCACUAAACAGGAAGAGCGAGAAGAAGAAACCUAAUCGCGACGUCAUCACUCUGCGUUCUCUCUGAUUGGCUGAGAAAAAAUGGCGGGGGUAGAAUCUGGUGGUUCAAACACAACAACACCACGGAUCAUCUAACCGGGAGAGGUGAAGUCAGUCCGGGACAUCGGCCGCGAGGGGAGCCGCUGGAAGUCGCUUCUGGAGAUUCAUCCAAGAUGGUAAAGAUGUCGCCAGACAAGGAGACGAGGUUAAAGCGCUGGAGUUCUUCAGACCGGCGAACAACAUUCAGCCGAGUCAAAAGCUUGAAAGCAGGAUAAAGAAAAUUGAGGAAAUAAUUGCACAGAACGAAUCAGAGGAUGAAGAUGAAGAGUUUGUCUUUCUGCCAGCUCCUGGUCCUCUGGGGCCUCGUCACGGUCGACGUCGAGGGAAAACGUGAGGUCGUGAUCAGAAAUCCCAAACAUGUCCACGGCGUGGAGGCGGGACGUAGGAAGAGUCCAGUCUCGUUACUUUGAAGCCUCUGUUGCUCAGGAUGCGUUCGAUGAUGUGACGAGUGUGCGGUGGCCUUCCUGUCUGAACAGAAAGACCAUUUUUCCAGACUCAGAUAUUCACUAAGGUGUCGUCAGGAACGUUGUUGAUGCUGUGACUGUCUGUCGUCAUCUUACUGGUUUCCAGCUGCUUUCCUCCAAACCUAAACUGGCUUUGAGUCGAUACGUGAUUCCAAAGUGACGCAAAAAAACAAGUUGAAAUAAAAACCAACUUUUUCA